GGCGGCGUGCUUAACACAUGCAAGUCGAGCGGAAAGGCCCCUUCGGGGGUACUCGAGCGGCGAACGGGUGAGUAACACGUGAGCAACCUGCCCCUGACUCUGGGAUAAGCCUGGGAAACCGGGUCUAAUACCGGAUAUGACGUGCUCCCGCAUGGGAUGUUCGUGGAAAGUUUUUCGGUUGGGGAUGGGCUCGCGGCCUAUCAGCUUGUUGGUGGGGUGAUGGCCUACCAAGGCGACGACGGGUAACCGGCCUGAGAGGGCGACCGGUCACACUGGGACUGAGACACGGCCCAGACUCCUACGGGAGGCAGCAGUGGGGAAUAUUGCGCAAUGGGCGGAAGCCUGACGCAGCGACGCCGCGUGGGGGAUGACGGCCUUCGGGUUGUAAACCCCUUUCAGCAGGGACGAAGCGGAAGUGACGGUCCUGCAGAAGAAGCGCCGGCUAACUACGUGCCAGCAGCCGCGGUAAUACGUAGGGCGCAAGCGUUGUCCGGAAUUAUUGGGCGUAAAGAGCUCGUAGGCGGUUUGUCGCGUCCGUCGUGAAAGCCCACAGCUUAACUGUGGGUCUGCGGUGGAUACGGGCAGACUAGAGGCAGGUAGGGGAGAACGGAAUUCCCGGUGUAGCGGUGAAAUGCGCAGAUAUCGGGAGGAACACCGGUGGCGAAGGCGGUUCUCUGGGCCUGUACUGACGCUGAGGAGCGAAAGCGUGGGGAGCGAACAGGAUUAGAUACCCUGGUAGUCCACGCCGUAAACGUUGGGCGCUAAGGUGUGGGGUCCUUCCACGGAUUCCGUGCCGGUAGCUAACGCAUUAAGCGCCCCGCCUGGGGAGUACGGCCGC
RNAcentral lists this ribosomal RNA (838 nucleotides) under Spirillospora sp. IM-1043. RNAcentral's name for it is "bacterial SSU rRNA". It matches the Rfam family "Bacterial small subunit ribosomal RNA", at positions 38 to 889 of the family's 1533-position model. Lineage: Bacteria; Bacillati; Actinomycetota; Actinomycetes; Streptosporangiales; Thermomonosporaceae. The record is from RNAcentral.